GAUGAACGCUGGCGGCGUGCCUAAUACAUGCAAGUCGAGCGAACAGACGAGGAGCUUGCUCCUCUGACGUUAGCGGCGGACGGGUGAGUAACACGUGGAUAACCUACCUAUAAGACUGGGAUAACUUCGGGAAACCGGAGCUAAUACCGGAUAAUAUAUUGAACCGCAUGGUUCAAUAGUGAAAGACGGUUUUGCUGUCUCUUAUAGAUGGAUCCGCGCCGCAUUAGCUAGUUGGUAAGGUAACGGCUUACCAAGGCAACGAUGCGUAGCCGACCUGAGAGGGUGAUCGGCCACACUGGAACUGAGCCACGGUCCAGACUCCUACGGGAGGCAGCAGUAGGGAAUCUUCCGCAAUGGGCGAAAGCUUGACGGAGCAACGCCGCGUGAGUGAUGAAGGUCUUCGGAUCGUAAAACUCUGUUAUUAGGGAAGAACAAAUGUGUAAGUAACUAUGCACGUCUUGACGGUACCUAAUCAGAAAGCCACGGCUAACUACGUG
Molecule: ribosomal RNA, 497 nt
Filed under: uncultured bacterium
Lineage: Bacteria
Description: partial 16S ribosomal RNA
Rfam family: Bacterial small subunit ribosomal RNA
Source: RNAcentral